GGGAUAUCAGCCUACAUUGACACAAGAAUCUAGGCAAGCACUCUUCCACUGAGCCACAACCCCAGCCCUUAACCAUUUUUAAGUGUACAAUUCAGUGUUAUUAAAUACAUGCAUAAUGUGCAAACAUCACCAUCUCCAGAACUUUUGAGUCUUGUAAAACUUGAAACUACACCAUUAAGCCAUACUCCCCAUUGCCCACUCUCCACCCUAACAACUGCCAUUCUGCUGUCUUAUGGUUUUGACUGUGCUAAGCAUCUCAUAUAAGUGAAAUUCUCAGUAUUUGUCUUUGACUGGCUUAUCUCACUUAGUGUAACAUUCCCAGCGUUCACACAGGUUGCCUCAUAUUACAGGAUUUCCUUCCUUUUUAAAGAUGAAUAAUAUUCCAUCAUUCAUACAUAAUUUACUACCAAUAAUUUCAUCUUGAGCAAUCUCAAGUUUGUCAAAUCUGUCCAUUUUCUUUUGAAGUUAGUCCUUAAAAUAUUUGUUGGGUUUCUGUACCUCCGCCCCAUCCCCACCCUGGCCUUCCUCUGCCCCCUGUGGGGUUGUACUGUAGCUCUUUUUUGUUUACUUCUCAGGGCAGCAGCAAGGAAAUGAUGAUAUCAGCAGACUGUGCGGAGUAUGCUGGAAGAAUGUCCUCAGCAGAAGGCGCCUGCUUCUUUCAGCAGAGCAACAGAGGGAGGGGUGCCCCCAGCAUGGCUUGCCAGCUGUCCCAUCAGUCCUCCCAGGUGCUCUGCUGGGGAGCUCCAGUCCUCCUCCCUCAUUACAGUCUUUCUCCCUACAUGUCCCCUCCUUCCUCGUUUCUUCUUUCCUUAAUCUUGAGUUUUAUUUUCCGUUCUGUAAGUCUCAAACCUGUGUGUCUGGGGAGCUACAUUGUGAGGACUGUGUCUAACCACAUUCAAGGAUCUAUCAGUGGGAUUGCACAGGUCAUUUGUGAAUAAAUGAAUUUGCAAAGUAACUGCGUUUUCUGUUAGUAUCAUCACUUAGUUUUAAUUUGGCUCCCUUAGUAUUGCCCUUACUCCUUCACCACAUAGCUGUAUCAUUCUUGCAGGACUUACAUAUUGGUGCCUGCACAGGUCGGGUUUUUCCCAAAAGGCCUUCUCUUUCUACUGGUGAUACUCAUUUUUUAUUUAAAUUGAGAAUUCACCUCACCUUACACUGUCAGGUGCCAUAUGGCAAUUUGUGCUCCUAGUGAUGGCACUGAGCCGUGAUGCAACCUAGGAGUUCAGUGUCCCUUCUCAGUCCUGUCUCUCCCCAGUGCUUCUCUUAUAAACCCUUGGGCAGCCUUGGCUGGGGAUUAAGAUGUCUUUUUUUGGGUAUCAAAAAU
This 1324-nucleotide long non-coding RNA is filed under the name Marmota monax (woodchuck). Lineage: Eukaryota; Metazoa; Chordata; Mammalia; Rodentia; Sciuridae. The record is from RNAcentral.